RNAcentral lists this ribosomal RNA (390 nucleotides) under uncultured bacterium. RNAcentral's name for it is "bacterial SSU rRNA". It matches the Rfam family "Bacterial small subunit ribosomal RNA", at positions 28 to 419 of the family's 1533-position model. The record is from RNAcentral.
GACGAACGCUGGCGGCGUGCUUAACACAUGCAAGUCGAGCGGUAAGGCCCUUUCGGGGGUACACGAGCGGCGAACGGGUGAGUAACACGUGGGUGACCUGCCCUCAGCUCUGGGAUAAGCCUGGGAAACCGGGUCUAAUACUGGAUAUGACUCCAUGACGCACGUUGUGGGGUGGAAAGCCUUGUGCGGCUGAGGAUGGGCCCGCGGCCUAUCAGCUUGUUGGUGGGGUGAUGGCCUACCAAGGCGACGACGGGUAGCCGGCCUGAGAGGGCGACCGGCCACACUGGGACUGAGACACGGCCCAGACUCCUACGGGAGGCAGCAGUGGGGAAUCUUGCGCAAUGGGCGAAAGCCUGACGCAGCGACGCCGCGUGAGGGAUGACGGCCUGU